UACGGGGGGGGCAAGCGUUGUUCGGAAUUACUGGGCGUAAAGGGCUCGUAGGCGGCCAACUAAGUCAGACGUGAAAUCCCUCGGCUUAACCGGGGAACUGCGUCUGAUACUGGAUGGCUUGAAUCCGGGAGAGGGAUGCGGAAUUCCAGGUGUAGCGGUGAAAUGCGUAGAUAUCUGGAGGAACACCGGUGGCGAAGGCGGCAUCCUGGACCGGCAUUGACGCUGAGGAGCGAAAGCCAGGGGAGCAAACGAG
RNAcentral lists this ribosomal RNA (253 nucleotides) under uncultured bacterium. RNAcentral describes it as "partial 16S ribosomal RNA". It matches the Rfam family "Bacterial small subunit ribosomal RNA", at positions 524 to 776 of the family's 1533-position model. The record is from RNAcentral.